RNAcentral lists this long non-coding RNA (205 nucleotides) under Homo sapiens (human). RNAcentral's name for it is "HSALNT0035018". Lineage: Eukaryota; Metazoa; Chordata; Mammalia; Primates; Hominidae. The record is from RNAcentral.
CCAGGAGAAAAGUGAGUUGACUUGUUCUUUUAGACACUGUUGACAUAAUACCUUCUCAGGUAGCUACUAACCCCCAUUAUACCCAGUGCUCCAGAUCUCUUCUGCCUUCUUUCUCUGCCCUGGACUGGCAAUAACAUGCUGACACAGGCCAUUUCUUCUUCUAUUCCCUGUCCUUAGGAAUGAUGAUGAAAGGGAGAGAACUGGA